ANACNUAUUCAUUUAGAGGNUCUCUGGUGAUUCAUAAUAACUUCUCGAAUCGCACGGCCUUGCGCCGGCGAUGGUUCAUUCAAAUUUCUGCCCUAUCAACUUUCGACGGCUGGGUCUUGGCCAGCCGUGGUGACAACGGGUAACGGAGGGUUAGGGCUCGACCCCGGAGAAGGAGCCUGAGAAACGGCUACUACAUCCAAGGAAGGCAGCAGGCGCGCAAAUUACCCAAUCCCGACACGGGGAGGUAGUGACAAUAAAUACUGAUACAGGGCUCUUUCGGGUCUUGUAAUUGGAAUGAGUACAAUUUAAAUCCCUUAACGAGGAACAAUUGGAGGGCAAGUCUGGUGCCAGCAGCCGCGGUAAUUCCAGCUCCAAUAGCGUAUAUUAAAGUUGUUGAGGUUAAAAAGCUCGUAGUUGAACCUUGGGCCUAGCCGGCCGGUCCGCCUCACCGCGUGCACUGGCUCGGCUGGGUCUUUCCUUCUGGAGAACCGCAUGCCCUUCACUGGGUGUGCUGGGGAACCAGGACUUUUACUCUGAAUAAAUUAGAUCGCUUAAAGAAGGCCUAUGCUCGAAUACAUUAGCAUGGAAUAAUAGAAUAGGACGUGUGGUUCUAUUUUGUUGGUUUCUAGGACCGCCGUAAUGAUUAAUAGGGACAGUCGGGGGCAUCAGUAUUCAAUUGUCAGAGGUGAAAUUCUUGGAUUUAUUGAAGACUAACUACUGCGAAAGCAUUUGCCAAGGAUGUUUUCAUUAAUCAGGAACGAAAGNU
Molecule: ribosomal RNA, 766 nt
Filed under: cf. Chaetomium sp. 748/HC2
Lineage: Eukaryota; Fungi; Ascomycota; Sordariomycetes; Sordariales; Chaetomiaceae
Description: SSU rRNA
Rfam family: Eukaryotic small subunit ribosomal RNA
Source: RNAcentral